RNAcentral lists this ribosomal RNA (253 nucleotides) under uncultured bacterium. RNAcentral's name for it is "partial 16S ribosomal RNA". It matches the Rfam family "Bacterial small subunit ribosomal RNA", at positions 524 to 776 of the family's 1533-position model. The record is from RNAcentral.
CACGUAGGGCGCAAGCGUUGUCCGGAAUUACUGGGCGUAAAGGGCGCGUAGGCGGCUUGUACAGUCAGACGUGAAAUUCCUGGGCUCAACCUGGGGGCUGCGUUUGAUACGUAUGGGCUUGAGUUCGGAAGAGGGUCGUGGAAUUCCCAGUGUAGAGGUGAAAUUCGUAGAUAUUGGGAAGAACACCGGUGGCGAAGGCGGCGACCUGGUCCGAUACUGACGCUGAGGCGCGAAAGCGUGGGGAGCAAACAGG